Molecule: ribosomal RNA, 435 nt
Filed under: uncultured bacterium
Lineage: Bacteria
Description: partial 16S ribosomal RNA
Rfam family: Bacterial small subunit ribosomal RNA
Source: RNAcentral
AGCGAACGCUGGCGGCAGGCUUAACACAUGCAAGUCGAGCGGGCAUCUUCGGAUGUCAGCGGCAGACGGGUGAGUAACACGUGGGAACGUACCCUUCGGUUCGGAACAACUCUGGGAAACUGGAGCUAAUACCGGAUACGCCCUUAUGGGGAAAGGUUUACUGCCGAAGGAUCGGCCCGCGUCUGAUUAGCUAGUUGGUGGGGUAACGGCCUACCAAGGCGACGAUCAGUAGCUGGUCUGAGGGGAUGAUCAGCCACACUGGGACUGAGACACGGCCCAGACUCCUACGGGAGGCAGCAGUGGGGAAUAUUGGACAAUGGGCGCAAGCCUGAUCCAGCCAUGCCGCGUGAGUGAUGAAGGCCUUAGGGUUGUAAAGCUCUUUUGUCCGGGACGAUAAUGACGGUACCGGAAGAAUAAGCCCCGGCUAACUUCGUG